CUAAAACCUUGUCAUCGAGGGCAGAACGAAACCAGAGGGUUUACUAAGCUGUGGCGUCACGUAAACACUGAGCAUCCACUCGACAGCGGAACUUGGUACACAGGUACACCCCAAGCGGCGCUUACACAAGGAUCACAAAGCUAUAUAGGGCAAACAACACCUCUAACUAAGGAGUGCAGGAUGACGUCUGUAUCAACCAUGACGAGCAGCCUGGACAUCGCCCAAGCCACAGAAGCUCUAGAGCGAGACAUGCAUGCGUGGGACCUCUCAGACUCGCCACCGCCUGCGCUGCUAUUCCAGACCCCACCACCUCCUCCCCCCUCUCCUCAGCUGCUGCAGGAUCCUACAGGAUCGGGUCUGUGUGAGGAAACCAUUAUCGACAUCAAGCUUGCAACCCAUCACCUGGUGAUGUUGGCAUUAAACGCCUUUCUACAGGAAACAUGCUAUGGAUGUCGAACAGCUCAACCCAGUCAGGUGCAACACAGCUGUUUGUUCGAACUGCCCGAGUAUUACUUUGACACCUACUACGACGAUGUGAUGCUGAGGCUCAAGACAUUCCGAUUCAUCCCUGCCAUUCGCCUGUUUGUACGCUCGUACACAGACGAUGGGACUAAAACACAAUUCAGCAGAAUUGCAGAACACACCAUGACUGAACUGAGAUCAUCACAACAUAUAGUAUGCGCAAUUAACGACAAUAUUGCACAGUUGCUAGAAGCAAGUCGUUAUGCCCGUCGUGUUAAACCAGC
Long non-coding RNA from Oreochromis aureus, 746 nucleotides. The record is from Ensembl. Lineage: Eukaryota; Metazoa; Chordata; Actinopteri; Cichliformes; Cichlidae.